CCUACGGGGGGCAGCAGUGAGGAAUAUUGGUCAAUGGACGAGAGUCUGAACCAGCCAAGUAGCGUGAAGGAUGACUGCCCUAUGGGUUGUAAACUUCUUUUAUAUGGGAAUAAAAUGUUCCACGUGUGGGAUUUUGUAUGUACCAUAUGAAUAAGGAUCGGCUAACUCCGUGCCAGCAGCCGCGGGAAUACGGAGGAUCCGAGCGUUAUCAGGAUUUAUUGGGUUUAAAGGGAGCGUAGGUGGAUUGUUAAGUCAGUUGUGAAAGUUUGCGGCUCAACCGUAAAAUUGCAGUUGAAACUGGCAGUCUUGAGUACAGUAGAGGUGGGCGGAAUUCGUGGUGUAGCGGUGAAAUGCUUAGAUAUCACGAAGAACUCCGAUUGCGAAGGCAGUUCACUGGACUGCAACUGACACUGAGGCUCGAAAGUGUGGGUAUCAAACAGGAUUAGAUACCCGAGUAGUC
Molecule: ribosomal RNA, 460 nt
Filed under: uncultured bacterium
Lineage: Bacteria
Description: partial 16S ribosomal RNA
Rfam family: Bacterial small subunit ribosomal RNA
Source: RNAcentral